This 287-nucleotide ribosomal RNA is filed under the name uncultured bacterium. RNAcentral describes it as "partial 16S ribosomal RNA". It matches the Rfam family "Bacterial small subunit ribosomal RNA", at positions 773 to 1060 of the family's 1533-position model. The record is from RNAcentral.
GUGGAUUAGAUACCCUGGUAGUCCACGCCGUAAACGUUGGGCACUAGGUGUGGGACUCUAUCGACGGGUUCCGUGCCGUAGCUAACGCAUUAAGUGCCCCGCCUGGGGAGUACGGCCGCAAGGCUAAAACUCAAAGGAAUUGACGGGGGCCCGCACAAGCGGCGGAGCGUGUGGCUUAAUUCGAUGCAACGCGAAGAACCUUACCUGGGCUUGACAUUUUCGGUAAAGCGGGUGAAAGCCCGUGUCCUUCGGGGCCGAAAACAGGUGGUGCACGGCUGUCGACAGCU